CUUGGUGACCAUAGCGGAGGGGUCACACCCUGCUCCAUUCCGAACCAGGAAGUUAAGCCCUCCCGCGCCGAUGGUACUGCCUGGGUAACUGGGUGGGAGAGUAGGUCAUUGCCAGGG
This 117-nucleotide ribosomal RNA is filed under the name Anaerolineae bacterium. The record is from RNAcentral. Lineage: Bacteria; Bacillati; Chloroflexota; Anaerolineae.